UGAGAAUGUAACUGGCUCGCUCAUCCC
This 27-nucleotide non-coding RNA is filed under the name Mus musculus (house mouse). The record is from RNAcentral. Lineage: Eukaryota; Metazoa; Chordata; Mammalia; Rodentia; Muridae.